UACGGAGGGGGCUAGCGUUGUUCGGAAUUACUGGGCGUAAAGCGCACGUAGGCGGAUCAGCAAGUUAGGGGUGAAAUCCCGGGGCUCAACCCCGGAACUGCCUUUAAACUGUUGGUCUGGAGGUCGAGAGAGGUGAGUGGAAUUCCGAGUGUAGAGGUGAAAUUCGUAGAUAUUCGGAGGAACACCAGUGGCGAAGGCGGCUCACUGGCUCGAUACUGACGCUGAGGUGCGAAAGCGUGGGGAGCAAACAGG
This 252-nucleotide ribosomal RNA is filed under the name uncultured bacterium. Its description in RNAcentral is "partial 16S ribosomal RNA". It matches the Rfam family "Bacterial small subunit ribosomal RNA", at positions 524 to 776 of the family's 1533-position model. The record is from RNAcentral.